AGUGAACGCUGGCGGUAGGCCUAACACAUGCAAGUCGAACGGCAGCACAGGAGAGCUUGCUCUCUGGGUGGCGAGUGGCGGACGGGUGAGGAAUACAUCGGAAUCUACUUUUUCGUGGGGGACAACGUAGGGAAACUUACGCUAAUACCGCAUAUGACCUACGGGUGAAAGCAGGGGAUCUUCGGUCCUUGCGCGAUCGAAUGAGCCGAUGUCGGAUUAGCUAGUUGGCGGGGUAAAGGCCCACCAAGGCGACGAUCCGUAGCUGGUCGGAGAGGAUGAUCAGCCACACUGGAACUGAGACACGGUCCAGACUCCUACGGGAGGCAGCAGUGGGGAAUAUUGGACAAUGGGCGCAAGCCUGAUCCAGCCAUACCGCGUGGGUGAAGAAGGCCUUCGGGUUGUAAAGCCCUUUUGUUGGGAAAGAAAUCCAGCUGGUUAAUACCCGGUUGGGAUGACGGUACCCAAAGAAUAAGCACCGGCUAACUCCGUGCCAGCCGCCGCGGUAA
Molecule: ribosomal RNA, 506 nt
Filed under: uncultured bacterium
Lineage: Bacteria
Description: partial 16S ribosomal RNA
Rfam family: Bacterial small subunit ribosomal RNA
Source: RNAcentral